AUGAUGGAGCAGUUCAAACUACCAUCGCCACUGGUGUUGACAGGCAACUUGGGAGAAAACUGGAGAAGAUGGGAACAGCGCUUCCAAAUCUACAUGACCGCGAGUGGUGCAGAGGGUAAGGAUGAAAAGAUCAAAGUUUCCAUCUUACUGCACGCACUAGGAGAGGAGGCUCUCGAAGUGUAUAACACACUUAACCUUCCAGAAGAAAAGACUGUGAAAGAUGUUCUCACAGCUUUUGAAGCAUAUUGUCUGCCCAAGAAGAAUACAGUGUUUGAAAGGCACCAAUUUUGGGCGCACCCUAUGACAGCCUCUGUCUCCAUUGAUAAAUAUGUGACGGAGCUCAGACAAAAAAGUAAGGACUGUGAAUUUGGCGUCUCGGAAAACGACAUGAUCAGAGACAAGAUUGUGUUCAGUAUGAAUGACCAGCGUCUUAAAGAGAGACUUUUAAGAGAGCCAAAUCUUACAUUAGAAAAGGCCAUAGACACUUGCCGUGCUGCUGAGAUCGCCAGAGCUCAAAUAGAAGCAAUGAGCGCAGCCACUCAAGAGAGAUCUGUACAUACAGUGCAUAAGAAAAAACAGGACAGUCAACCACGCAAUAAAGGACCAAAGCAACCUUUUCAACACACACAAAGCAGUGGACAUGUAAACACAUGCAGAAAAUGUGGAAAAUCACACCAGCCCAAACAAUGCCCAGCAUAUGGAGUUUCCUGCCACAAGUGUGGUAAACAGAACCACUAUGCAAAGAUGUGUGGGUCAGGUAAAGCACAGCAUAGAAGGACAGUGCAUGAUAUCAGUCCAGAAAUUGACACUCUGUUUAUUGGAACAGUGAACAUUGACCAGCUCGACUCCAGCCUUGACAAGUCCUGGUACUCUGAAGUACAGGUUGACAACAUGUCCGUAAGGUUCAAAUUGGAUACAGGAGCAGAGGCCAAUGUCCUACCACUGAGGAUGUUUAAGUCCAUGAAAAGGAAGGCCAGACGAGAAAGGAGAGCACACCUGCAACUACAGCCCACAAAAACAGUGCUGGUGGCUUAUGGAGGGAUGAGGCUGAGGCCAGAGGGGUUACUCACACUCAAGUGCUCUACACCCAAAGCUCAUGCAAGUCUGCCGUUUUACAUAUCGAGACACUCAUCCACACCUAUCCUAGGGGGAGAUGCUUGUGUAGACUUGCACCUGGUAAAAAGGCUGGACAUCGACAAACUGGAUGUGAAACAUCCAACUACGAAGGAGGAGCUGAUAGCUCCACACCCAACAGUCUUUGAAGGUCUGGGGGAGUUUGCCGGAGAAUAUCACAUCCACACAAACCCCAAGGCUACGCCAGUCAUACAUGGCUGCAGAAAAAUACCACUGGCCGUGAUGGAUAAACUCAGAGACACUCUUGAUGACCUGUUACAAGCAGAUGUGAUUGCACAGGUGACGGAGCCAACACCAUGGGUAACUAGCCUUGUAAUCACAGAAAAGAAAGAUAAGAAGAAAUUGAGGGUUUGCUUGGACCCCACUGAUUUAAACAAAGCAAUACUAAGACAGCACUACUCCAUCCGCACAACAGAUGAAGUUUUGUGCAAACUUGCUGGUAAGAAGAUAUUCACAGUGCUGGAUGAGAAGGACGGCUACUGGCAAGUAAAGCUUGACAAGGAGUCAUCGCUUGCUCAUGGUGGUACUGUUGGGUCUCUGUAA
This is a long non-coding RNA of Dicentrarchus labrax (European seabass), 1677 nucleotides long. NCBI's taxonomy places the organism in Eukaryota, Metazoa, Chordata, Actinopteri, Moronidae. The record is from Ensembl.